RNAcentral lists this ribosomal RNA (542 nucleotides) under Prosoeca sp. 18 GLT-2023a. RNAcentral describes it as "partial large subunit ribosomal RNA". It matches the Rfam family "Bacterial large subunit ribosomal RNA", at positions 1805 to 2620 of the family's 2925-position model. The record is from RNAcentral. Lineage: Eukaryota; Metazoa; Arthropoda; Insecta; Diptera; Nemestrinidae.
UAUCAAAAACAUGUCCUUUANAAUUGAAUUUAAGGUCUANCCUGCCCACUGAUUAAUUAAAUGGCCGCAGUAUUUUAACUGUGCAAAGGUAGCAUAAUCAUUAGUCUUUUAAUUGAAGGCUUGUAUGAAUGGUUGGACAAAAUAUAUAUUGUUUCAUAUAAAUUUAUAGAACUUUAUUUUUUAGUCAAAAAGCUAAAAUUUAAUUAAAAGACGAGAAGACCCUAUAGAUCUUUAUAAUUAUUAAGUUUAAUUUAUAAAGAAUAUUUUAUUUUUAAUUUAUAUAAUUAUUUUAUUGGGGUGAUAGUAAGAUUUAUUUAACUCUUAUGUAAUUAAUUACAUAAAUUAAUGAUUAGUUGAUCCAGUAUUAUUGAUUAGUAAAAUAAGUUACCUUAGGGAUAACAGCGUAAUUUUUUUAGAGAGUUCAUAUCGAUAAAAAGGAUUGCGACCUCGAUGUUGGAUUAAGAGAUAAGUUUGGGCGCAGCCGUUCAAAUUUAAAGUCUGUUCGACUUUUUAAUUCUUACAUGAUCUGAGUUCAAACCGGA